This 780-nucleotide ribosomal RNA is filed under the name Leptolyngbya sp. CMP6. RNAcentral's name for it is "partial 16S ribosomal RNA". Lineage: Bacteria; Bacillati; Cyanobacteriota; Cyanophyceae; Leptolyngbyales; Leptolyngbyaceae. The record is from RNAcentral.
CRRUGCGGCUGCUAMCAUGCAGUCGAACGGAGGUCUUCGGACCUUAGUGGCGGACGGGUGAGUAACGCGUGAGAAUCUGGCCUCRGGACGGGGACAACGASUGGAAACGGUCGCUAAUACCCGAUGUGCCGAGAGGUGAAAGGAUUARUUGCCUGAGGAUGASCUCGCGUCUGAUUAGCUAGUUGGAGGGGUAAAGGCCCACCRAGGCGACGAUCAGUAGCUGGUCUGAGAGGAUGAUCAGCCACRCUGGGACUGAGACACGGCCCAGACUCCUACGGGAGGCAGCRGUGGGGAAUUUUCCGCRAUGGGCGAAAGCCUGACGGAGCAAGACCGCGUGAGGGAAGACGGCCUACUGGUUGUAAACCUCUUUUGAUAGGGAAGAACACRAUGACGGUACCUAUCGAAUCAGCCUCGGCUAACUCCGUGCCAGCAGCCGCGGUAAUACGGAGGAGGCAAGCGUUAUCCGGAAUUAUUGGGCGUAAAGCGUCCGUAGGUGGAUAUUCAAGUCAGUUGUUAAAGCGUGGAGCUUAACUCCAUAAAGGCAAUUGAAACUGAAUGUCUAGAGUGCGAUAGGGGCAAGGGGAAUUCCCAGUGUAGCGGUGAAAUGCGUAGAUAUUGGGAAGAACAUCGGUGGCGAAAGCGCCUUGCUGGGUCUGCRCUGACACUGAGGGACGAAAGCUAGGGGAGCGAAAGGGAUUAGAUACCCCUGUAGUCCUAGCCGUAAACGAUGGAUACUAGGCGUUGUCCGUAUCGACCCSAGCCGKGSCMRAAAACAAAAAA